AUGCCAUUACAAGCCGGGAUUAGACAGUCCAGACAGACAAUACAAUCUGUGACGAAAUCAUACGGCUAUGCCAGGGCGAGCAGUGCUGCUGCUCGGCAGUCACCCGCUUGGAUCCUGCCUUUUGAACUUCCCGAGUGGGAGAUCAGUUGCAGGAGUUCAUUCAGGGGAUGAGGAAGGUGACCAUGCAACUUACGUGGGUCAGAAGCAGAGGGUUCUCAACUAA
Molecule: non-coding RNA, 223 nt
Organism: Vicia faba (fava bean)
Lineage: Eukaryota; Viridiplantae; Streptophyta; Magnoliopsida; Fabales; Fabaceae
Source: the annotation of a GenBank genome assembly